CAGAUGCUGGCUAUCUGGGUUUUCUACGAGGCAGAACAUGUGACUGAAAAGCAUGACGAAUAGGCCAGUGUCAACCAGCCCUAUGAAGGAUGCUUGUUACCACACACAUUAUGUUUGCUGCACUGAUAUAUGUGUCCCUCCCUGCAGGGUGAAGCAUGCAAUUACAUAGACAAGGAACAGCGUGUUACAGCUACAAGUUGCUCAGGGUGAAGCAUGCAAUCACAUAGACAAGGAACAGCGUGUUACAGCUACAAGUUGCUCAGGGUGAAGCAUGCAAUCACAUAGACAAGGAACAGCGUGUUACAGCUACAAGUUGCUCAGGGUGAAGCAUGCAAUCACAUAGACAAGGAACAGCGUGUUACAGCUACAAGUUGCUCAGGGUGAAGCAUGCAAUCACAUAGACAAGGAACAGCGUGUUACAGCUACAAGUUGCUCAGGGUGAAGCAUGCAAUCACAUAGACAAGGAACAGUGUGUUACAGCUACAAGUUGCUCAGGGUGAAGCAUGCAAUCACAUAGACAAGGAACAGCGUGUUACAGCUACAAGUUGCUCAGAUGGUGCAUGUUUUUUAAGUGGACGCUCGUCAAGGACAAGGACUGGAAUGAGGCAAAUCAUGCUCAACAUCUCCAGCAGCACCUACUCUUCAAGAAGUAGAUGUCCCAAACAACCCUAUGGUGAAUGAGGAUCUGCUUCAUUCUCAAGUUAAAGUCAGCCUUUGCAUCUCCAAAGACAUCUACUUAUCAGCAAGUAGAUGAUGAAGACCAGCCUAUGAUGAAGAAGCUCAAAGACAUCUACCCAUCAGCAAGUAGAUGUUGAAGAUCAGCCUAUGAUGAAGAAGCUCAAAGACAUCUACCCAUCAGCAAGUAGAUGAUGAAGACCAGCCUAUGAUGAAGAAGCUCAAAGACAUCUACCCAUCAGCAAGUAGAUGAUGAAGACCAGCCUAUGAUGAAGAAGCUCAAGUACAUCUACCCAUCAGCAAGUAGAUGAUGAAGACCAGCCUAUGAUGAAGAAGCUCAAAGACAUCUACCCAUCAGCCAGUAGAUGAUGAAAACCAGCCUAUGAUGAAGAAGCUCAAAGACAUCUACCCAUCAGCAAGUAGAUGAUGAAGACCAGCCUAUCAUGAAGAAGCUGCACUCUCCAGUACAAAUCAGUCAAAGACAUCUACCCAUCAACACAGAGAUGUCUAAGACCAGCAUAUGAUACAUGAGCUCAAAGACAUCUACCCGUCAACAAUGAGAUGUCAAAGACCAGCCGAUGAACCUGUCAACAAUGAGAUGUCAAAGACCAGCCGAUGAUGCAGAUUCUCAAAGACAUCUACCCGUCAACAAAGAGAUGUCAAGGACCAGCCGAUAAGGCAGGAGCUCAAAGACAUCUACCCGUCAACAAAGAGAUGUCUAGACCAGCCGAUGAUGCAGGAGCUACACUCCCCAGUAAAAGAGACGGAGAUAAAGGGAAUAGUUUCCUGAAAAGAAGUGCAGAAUGGAAUCAAAAAUACUGAUGCCAUCAAGGAUACUGGGUAUAAAGGAGAGCAACGCAUAUGAAAACAUCGCUAUCGACAAGGCAUGUUAGCUGCAAGCAUUCAUGGAUGUAACAAUUAGUUUGUUAUCUUUAACAGUAAGGUAUUAUAAAUGUGUUUUUAUGAACUGAAUAAGCUUCAUUCGGAACACUGCUUCACGCCCGUUGUGGCAUGAUCUCCAAGAAAUGAGCACAUCAUCCCGAUUCUUUGCUGUCUCCACUGGCUGCCGAUCAAGGGCCAUGUUGUGUUCAAGCCAAUGUUGCUCACUUACAAGUCUCAACAUGAUCUCGCUCCUGCAUGUAACUCUGAACUUAUAACCUCGUAUAAUACACAUCCUCGUUGUCGAACGCUCAUCAUCACAGUGUCUACUGCAAUCUCCCCACAGAGUCUCUACUUCGCAUUAUGGGGGUCAAUCCUGCUCCCACCUUAUGGAACGGUCUUCCUCUUAUUGUUCGACAAGCUACUUUGGUCACUUCCUUCAACAGUCGUCUGAAAAUAAUGAUGCACUUUUUGUGCUUUUAAUUAUUGUUUUAGCUGAACACUCCUGUGUUGUUUUUAUGGCCAGAUGCUGAGGAUCUUGGCUAAGGGUGUAAGUGCUGGUAACCUCUCCCCUUUUUUCAAAAUAGGUUUUUGAAUUAAUGAUGCACUUCUUGUGCUUUUAAUUAUUGUUUUAGCUGAUCAGUUCUGUGUUUUUACGGCCAGAUGCUGAGGAUCUUGGCUAAGGGUGUAAGUGCUGGUAACCUCUCCCCUUUUAAAAUAUGUUUUCUAUUAUUGGUAUGUUACUUUUGUGUAGAAGUGUGAAGGCACUGGACACUAUUGGUUAUUACUCAUAAUAAUUUUUAGCGUAGAAACUUAUUUGCUAACUAGCAAUGAAGAGCUGUUGCUAGUAUGCAACAUUGUGAGAAACGGCUCCCUGUGAAGUAACGUAGUUUUUGAGGUA
This is a long non-coding RNA of Asterias rubens (European starfish), 2455 nucleotides long. RefSeq lists it as uncharacterized. Lineage: Eukaryota; Metazoa; Echinodermata; Asteroidea; Forcipulatida; Asteriidae. The transcript is spliced from 7 exons. The record is from RefSeq and is a predicted model, not a curated record.